This 3606-nucleotide long non-coding RNA is filed under the name Sparus aurata (gilthead seabream). Its description in RNAcentral is "lncRNA (ENSSAUG00010003599.1)". Lineage: Eukaryota; Metazoa; Chordata; Actinopteri; Spariformes; Sparidae. The record is from RNAcentral.
UUUAAAACAGUCCUGUCAUUAGAUCUUACACACAAACAGCCUUUAUCUCUUGAGUUUGUGGACCACCUGUCCCACCAUCAUCCUCCCACCUGUCCCACCAUCUUCCCACCAUCGUCCCACAUCUGCCCACCAUCGUCCCACAUCUGCCCACCAUCGUCCCACAUCUGCCCACCAUCGUCCAACAUCUGCCCACCAUCGUCCUACAUCUGCCCACCAUCGUCCCACCAUCUUCCCACCAUCGUCCCACAUCUGCCCACCAUCGUCCCACAUCUGCCCACCAUCGUCCCACAUCUGCCCACCAUCGUCCUACAUCUGCCCACCAUCGACCCACCAUCGUCCCACAUCUGCCCACCAUCGUCCCACAUCUGCCCACCAUCGUCCCACAUCUGCCCACCAUCGUCCCACCAUCUUCCCACCAUCGUCCUACCAUCGUCCCACAUCUGCCCACCAUCUUCCCACCAUCGUCCCACAUCUGCCCACCAUCGUCCUACCAUCGUCCCACAUCUGCCCACCAUCUUCCCACCAUUAUCCCACAUCUGCCCACCAUCGUCCCACAUCUGCCCACCAUCGUCCCACCAUCGUCCCACAUCUGCCCACCAUCGUCCCACAUCUGCCCACCAUCGUCCUACCAUCGUCCCACAUCUGCCCACCAUCUUCCCACCAUCGUCCCACAUCUGCCCACCAUCGUCCUACCAUCGUCCCACAUCUGCCCACCAUCUUCCCACCAUUAUCCCACAUCUGCCCACCAUCGUCCCACAUCUGCCCACCAUCGUCCCACCAUCGUCCUACAUCUGCCCACCAUCAUCCUACCAUUAUCCCACAUCUGCCCACCAUCUUCCCACCAUCGUCCCACAUCUGCCCACCAUCGUCCUACCAUCGUCCCACAUCUGCCCACCAUCUUCCCACCAUUAUCCCACAUCUGCCCACCAUCGUCCCACAUCUGCCCACCAUCUGCCCACCAUCGUCCCACAUCUGCCCACCAUCGUCCUACCAUUAUCCCACAUCUGCCCACCAUCGUCCUACCAUCGUCCCACAUCUGCCCACCAUCUUCCCACCAUCGUCCCACAUCUGCCCACCAUCUUCCCACCAUCUGCCCACCAUCGUCCGGCCAUCGUCCCACAUCUGCCCACCAUCUUCCCACAUCUUCCCACCAUCGUUCCACAUCUGCCCACCAUCUUCCCACCAUCGUCCCACAUCUGCCCACCAUCUUCCCACAUCUGCCCACCAUCGUUCCACAUCUGCCCACCAUCUUCCCACCAUCUGCCCACCAUCGUCCCACAUCUGCCCACCAUCGUCCGGCCAUCGUCCCACAUCUGCCCACCAUCUUCCCACAUCUUCCCACCAUCGUUCCACAUCUGCCCACCAUCAUCCCACCAUCGUCCCACAUCUGCCCACCAUCUUCCCACAUCUGCCCACCAUCGUUCCACAUCUGCCCACCAUCAUCCCACCAUCGUCCCACAUCUGCCCACCAUCGUCCCACAUCUGCCAACCAUCGUCCUACAUCUGCCCACCAUCGUCCCACCAUCUUCCCACCAUCGUCCUACCAUCGUCCCACAUCUGCCCACCAUCUUCCCACCAUCGUCCCACAUCUGCCCACCAUCGUCCUACCAUCGUCCCACAUCUGCCCACCAUCUUCCCACCAUUAUCCCACAUCUGCCCACCAUCGUCCCACAUCUGCCCACCAUCGUCCCACCAUCGUCCCACAUCUGCCCACCAUCGUCCUACAUCUGCCCACCAUCAUCCCACCAUCUUCCCACCAUCGUCCCACAUCUGCCCACCAUCGUCCUACCAUUAUCCCACAUCUGCCCACCAUCGUCCGGCCAUCGUCCCACAUCUGCCCACCAUCGUUCCACAUCUGCCCACCAUCAUCCCACCAUCGUCCCACAUCUGCCCACCAUCGUCCCACCAUCGUCCCACAUCUGCCCACCAUCUGCCCACCAUCAUCCCACAUCUGCCCACCAUCGUCCCACAUCUACCCACCAUCGUCCGGCCAUCGUCCCACAUCUGCCCACCAUCUUCCCACAUCUGCCCACCAUCGUUCCACAUCUGCCCACCAUCAUCCCACCAUCAUCCCACCAUCGUCCCACAUCUGCCCACCAUUGUCCCACCAUCGUCCCACAUUUGCCCACCAUCGUCCCACAUCUGCCCACCAUCGUCCCGCCACUGUCCCACAUCUGCCCACCAUCGUUCCACAUCUGCCCACCAUCAUCCCACCAUCGUCCCACAUCUGCCCACCAUCGUCCCACAUCUGCCAACCAUCGUCCUACAUCUGCCCACCAUCGUCCCACCAUCGUCCUACCAUCGUCCCACAUCUGCCCACCAUCUUCCCACCAUCGUCCUACAUCUGCCCACCAUCGUCCCACCAUCUUCCCACCAUCGUCCUACCAUCGUCCCACAUCUGCCCACCAUCUUCCCACCAUCGUCCCACAUCUGCCCACCAUCGUCCUACCAUCGUCCCACAUCUGCCCACCAUCUUCCCACCAUUAUCCCACAUCUGCCCACCAUCGUCCCACAUCUGCCCACCAUCGUCCCACCAUCGUCCCACAUCUGCCCACCAUCGUCCUACAUCUGCCCACCAUCAUCCCACCAUCUUCCCACCAUCUGCCCACCAUCGUCCCACAUCUGCCCACCAUCGUCCUACCAUUAUCCCACAUCUGCCCACCAUCGUCCGGCCAUCGUCCCACAUCUGCCCACCAUCGUUCCACAUCUGCCCACCAUCAUCCCACCAUCGUCCCACAUCUGCCCACCAUCGUCCCACCAUCGUCCCACAUCUGCCCACCAUCAUCCCACAUCUGCCCACCAUCGUCCCACAUCUACCCACCAUCGUCCGGCCAUCGUCCCACAUCUGCCCACCAUCUUCCCACAUCUGCCCACCAUCGUUCCACAUCUGCCCACCAUCAUCCCACCAUCAUCCCACCAUCGUCCCACAUCUGCCCACCAUUGUCCCACCAUCGUCCCACAUUUGCCCACCAUCGUCCCACAUCUGCCCACCAUCGUCCCGCCACUGUCCCACAUCUGCCCACCAUCGUUCCACAUCUGCCCACCAUCGUCCCACCAUCGUCCCACAUCUGCCCACCAUCGUCCCACCAUCGUCCCACCAUUGUCCCACCAUCGUCCCACAUCUGCCCACCAUCGUCCCACCAUUGUCCCUCAAUCGUCCCACAUCUGCCCACCAUCGUCCCACCAUAUUCCCACCAUCUUCCCACCACCUGUCCCACCAUCUUCCCACCACCUGUCCCACCAUCUUCCCACCAUCUCCCCACCAUCGUCCCACAUCUGCCCACCAUCGUCCCACCAUCUUCCCACCAUCGUCCCACCAUUGUCCCACAUCUGCUGACCACCGUCCCACCAUUGUCCCACAUCUGCCCACCAUCGUCCCACAUCAUCCCACCAUUGUCCCACAUCUGCCCACCAUCGUCCCACCACCUGUCCCACCAUCUUCCCACCAUUUUCCCACCAUCGUCCCACAUCUGCCCACCAUCGUCCCACCAUCGUCCCACAUCUGCCCACCAUUGUCCCACUAUCUUCCCACCACCUGUCCCACCAUCGUCCCACCACCUGUCCCACCAUCUUCCCACCAUCAUCCUAGCACGCCUAGUCUUCUGA